This 24-nucleotide non-coding RNA is filed under the name Rattus norvegicus (Norway rat). Lineage: Eukaryota; Metazoa; Chordata; Mammalia; Rodentia; Muridae. The record is from RNAcentral.
UAAAUCAGACAGGUUGAUAGUGUG